ACACUCCUACGGGAGGCAGCAGUGGGGAAUAUUGCACAAUGGGCGCAAGCCUGAUGCAGCCAUGCCGCGUGUAUGAAGAAGGCCUUCGGGUUGUAAAGUACUUUCAGCGGGGAGGAAGGCGAUAAGGUUAAUAACCUUGUCGAUUGACGUUACCCGCAGAAGAAGCACCGGCUAACUCCGUGCCAGCAGCCGCGGUAAUACGGAGGGUGCAAGCGUUAAUCGGAAUUACUGGGCGUAAAGCGCACGCAGGCGGUCUGUCAAGUCGGAUGUGAAAUCCCCGGGCUCAACCUGGGAACUGCAUUCGAAACUGGCAGGCUAGAGUCUUGUAGAGGGGGGUAGAAUUCCAGGUGUAGCGGUGAAAUGCGUAGAGAUCUGGAGGAAUACCGGUGGCGAAGGCGGCCCCCUGGACAAAGACUGACGCUCAGGUGCGAAAGCGUGGGGAGCAAACAGGAUUAGAUACCCGAGUAGUCCCAUG
RNAcentral lists this ribosomal RNA (475 nucleotides) under uncultured organism. RNAcentral's name for it is "partial 16S ribosomal RNA". It matches the Rfam family "Bacterial small subunit ribosomal RNA", at positions 333 to 799 of the family's 1533-position model. The record is from RNAcentral.